Molecule: small RNA, 475 nt
Filed under: Pongo abelii (Sumatran orangutan)
Lineage: Eukaryota; Metazoa; Chordata; Mammalia; Primates; Hominidae
Description: processed transcript
Source: RNAcentral
AAACAAAUUGAAGAAAGAGAAACUAUGACAUUCUCAAGUUUAUACUAACAUGCUAUGUGAAGAGGAAUACAUUUCGGAAAUAUAAAAUACACUGGAUAAAAUCUCAGCAGACAAUUUUCUUUGGGCUACUAUAGUACCAUGCAACUAAUGAAAAAUCUAAGGGAGUUAUUAUUAAGGUUUGUUAAAGUUUUGCACUGUAGGAUUUUGUGGAAUUGGGAGCCUGAUUGAUUUCAUUCUUAUUUCAAUGCAGGGACAGGGCCUUGCUCUGUUGCCCAGGCUGGAGUGCAGUGGCGUGAUCAUAGCUCAUUGCAGCCUCGAAUUCCUGGGUUCAAACAAUCUUCCUGCCUCAGUCUCCCAUCCAGUAUGGGAUAUUUUAAAAGAUUGUUGGACCUUCAGAUGGAAGUAGUUACAUUAUAGAUUACUAUGGAACCAGACUUACAAGACUGAGUAUUACUAAUGAAACAUUUAGAAAAAC